This 301-nucleotide ribosomal RNA is filed under the name uncultured bacterium. RNAcentral describes it as "partial 16S ribosomal RNA". It matches the Rfam family "Bacterial small subunit ribosomal RNA", at positions 509 to 807 of the family's 1533-position model. The record is from RNAcentral.
CAGCAGCCACGGUAAUACAGAGGGUGCGAGCGUUAAUCGGAUUUACUGGGCGUAAAGCGUGCGUAGGCGGCUAAUUGAGUCGGAUGUGAAAUCCCUGAGCUUAACUUGGGAAUUGCAUUCGAUACUGGUUAGCUAGAGUGUGGGAGAGGAUGGUAGAAUUCCAGGUGUAGCGGUGAAAUGCGUAGAGAUCUGGAGGAAUACCGAUGGCGAAGGCAGCCAUCUGGCCUAACACUGACGCUGAGGUACGAAAGCAUGGGGAGCAAACAGGAUUAGAUACCCCUGUAGUCCCUGUCUCUUAUAC